GUUGAAGAACGUAGCGAAAUGCGAUAAGUAAUGUGAAUUGCAGAAUUCAGUGAAUCAUCGAAUCUUUGAACGCACAUUGCGCCCGCCAGUAUUCUGGCGGGCAUGCCUGUUCGAGCGUCAUUUCAACCAUCAGGCCCCGGGCUUGUGUUGGGGACCUGCGGCUGCCGCAGGCCCUGAAAAGCAGUGGCGGGCUCGCUGUCACACCGAGCGUAGUAGCAUACAUCUCGCUCUGGGCGUGCUGCGGGUUCCGGCCGUUAAACCACCUUUUAACCCAAGGUUGACCUCGGAUCAGGUAGGAAGACCCGCUGAACUUAAGCAUAUCAAUAAGCGGAGGA
Molecule: unclassified non-coding RNA, 335 nt
Filed under: soil metagenome
Description: partial contains 5.8S ribosomal RNA, internal transcribed spacer 2, and large subunit ribosomal RNA
Rfam family: 5.8S ribosomal RNA (bases 1-120)
Source: RNAcentral